Pseudopipra pipra is the source of this 910-nucleotide long non-coding RNA. RefSeq lists it as uncharacterized. Lineage: Eukaryota; Metazoa; Chordata; Aves; Passeriformes; Pipridae. The transcript is spliced from 3 exons. The record is from RefSeq and is a predicted model, not a curated record.
CCAGCUGAGGCCAGAGUGAGUCUGAGCCCCUGAACUGCCAGGUCAGUGCUCAGCCAGGGCAGACCCUUGCUGAGGGCAGAAAGCAUAUUUACUGGGCUGCACUGAUGACCUAGAUCCCAUAUGGAAAACAUAAUUAAUCUCCAAGAUGGGGUGAGAGAUGCAGAAGAAACCCCAGCACAUUGAAACAAACGGAAAUAACCAAAAUGAAAUGCUCAGGAAACAUCCAAGCAAAGUAGAUCUGAAAGCUUUUUUCUGGCACGAUCUAAUAUAUUAAGCAUUCCAUUCUAGAGAUGGAGAAAUGGACAUAUGCUGAAAUUACUUUUAUGAACUCAACGCAUCAGAAGCAGGGACUGAAAACAGAAACAAGAUGGAAACAAUUGAUGCUUUCACUGAAAAAUGAUUGAUAUGAUCUUUUCUGAGAACUUUAGUAAGGCAGCUGAAUUAUUGCCUGGUACGUUUUAGGAUUUCACUUGACAGUCCUCAGAUAUCAUAAUCUGUAUGUGGAUCCAUUCAUCUACUCCUCUUUUUCCUAUGAAACCUGACAUAUCUAAGAGUGUAUUCAAUCACACUCCUACCCCAGCCAACAAUACAGCCCUUGAGACUACAACCAGAAUUUUUUCAAUGGAAACAAAUAAAAAAGAAAAAAAAUAUUGCUCUGCCAGACACCAUGAAUUUAUACUUAUUUCCUGUGCAAUUCUUGUGGAAUAGACUGUAUUGUCUAGUUUUCCUCUGUUUUUUAAAUAAAUCUUUAUGGAAAUCUAAUAUCUCUGUGGGUUGUUAAAAUCUCUAGGGAAAGACUAUCAACUACUGAAACAUGCAACCACAAACUCCAAACAUUUUUCCUUUGUAGUUAUAAAUGUUAUACUUUAAAAAAAUAAAAAAUCAAAAAUACCAUAGGUGUUAUUUUCUG